This is a long non-coding RNA of Puntigrus tetrazona (Sumatra barb), 662 nucleotides long. RefSeq lists it as uncharacterized. The transcript has 4 exons. NCBI's taxonomy places the organism in Eukaryota, Metazoa, Chordata, Actinopteri, Cypriniformes, Cyprinidae. The record is from RefSeq and is a predicted model, not a curated record.
CUGUAGCUGAAAUCAACAGAAAGGCUAUAAUCACAUCUGAUGGUCCUGAUGGGAGAUUCAAAGACAUACUACAGGUGGACCAUUGGACUGGAUCUCUGACCAUCAGGAAUAUCGGAACCAAACACUCUGGAUAUUAUGAAGUUGGUAUCAGGAGUGGAAGUAGCAGAUACACCACACAUACGUCAUUUAAUGUGACUGUCAGCGGUUCAGGUCUGUCUCCAGCUGCUGUAGCAGGGAUUGUUGGUAGUAUUGUUGUUAUUCUGCUGGCUGCAGCUGUAGUUAUAGCUCUUGUUGUGAUUCACCAUCGCCGCAGGAUUGCUAAACUAAAAAGACAAAGGAAAAAUGUCCGCCCGCAUGUCAAACUUAAGAAAUGCUGUUUUUUUUAAAACCUUCAGAAGGGAGGCAAUGACCAGCCGUCGAUCGGUGCUCUGGUGAUUAAAUUGUUCAUGAAGAAUGUUGCAACCUGAGUAAUACUGAUAAUACUUUAGUUUUGACAUGUUUCGAUUUGUGAUGCGAUUUGUUAAACUUACAAAAUUUAGCAGGACAAAACAUUUUAUUCGACACCCCUGCACUGUUACGCUGCAUGUAUUGGUGUUUAUGCUUCAAUAUGUUGUAGAUGACUUUUGUAAAAAUAGUUAAAAAUAAACUUUUAUUUGACAAUA